GAUGAACGCUGGCGGCGUGCCUAAUACAUGCAAGUCGAGCGAACAGACGAGGAGCUUGCUCCUCUGACGUUAGCGGCGGACGGGUGAGUAACACGUGGAUAACCUACCUAUAAGACUGGGAUAACUUCGGGAAACCGGAGCUAAUACCGGAUAAUAUAUUGAACCGCAUGGUUCAAUAGUGAAAGACGGUUUUGCUGUCACUUAUAGAUGGAUCCGCGCCGCAUUAGCUAGUUGGUAAGGUAACGGCUUACCAAGGCAACGAUGCGUAGCCGACCUGAGAGGGUGAUCGGCCACACUGGAACUGAGACACGGUCCAGGCUCCUACGGGAGGCAGCAGUAGGGAAUCUUCCGCAAUGGGCGAAAGCCUGACGGAGCAACGCCGCAUGAGUGAUGAAGGUCUUCGGAUCGUAAAACUCUGUUAUUAGGGAAGAACAAAUGUGUAAGUAACUAUGCACGUCUUGACGGUACCUAAUCAGAAAGCCACGGCUAACUACGUG
This 497-nucleotide ribosomal RNA is filed under the name uncultured bacterium. RNAcentral describes it as "partial 16S ribosomal RNA". It matches the Rfam family "Bacterial small subunit ribosomal RNA", at positions 28 to 507 of the family's 1533-position model. The record is from RNAcentral.